This 252-nucleotide ribosomal RNA is filed under the name uncultured bacterium. Its description in RNAcentral is "partial 16S ribosomal RNA". It matches the Rfam family "Bacterial small subunit ribosomal RNA", at positions 524 to 776 of the family's 1533-position model. The record is from RNAcentral.
UACGUAGGUCCCGAGCGUUGUCCGGAUUUAUUGGGCGUAAAGCGAGCACAGGUGGUUUAUUAAGUCUGGUGUAAAAGGCAGUGGCUCAACCAUUGUAUGCAUUGGAAACUGGUAGACUUGAGUGCAGGAGAGGAGAGUGGAAUUCCAUGUGUAGCGGUGAAAUGCGUAGAUAUAUGGAGGAACACCGGUGGCGAAAGCGGCUCUCUGGCCUGUAACUGACAUUGAGGCUCGAAAGCGUGGGGAGCAAACAGG